AAAGAGAUUUAAGUUAUUUGAAGAGUGGCUGCCGUGGUGGUAGUUGUGGUUGUAUGGGUAUGGUAGUGGUGGUUGUGGUGGUGGUGAGGUAUAAUGGAUAGUUUUAGUGGUUAGGUAGACUAGGGAAGGUGAAGGUAAGGAAGUUGAGAAUGGGGGAAAAAUGUUGAUAGAUCAGUCAACAUAGAAAAUCGUGGAAACCGAGCGGGGAAAUGAGGAAGGCGUUAAAAAUAAGGAAGUUUAUAGGAAAAAAAUAUUGAUAGACGAGUCAGUAUAAGUAAUCGUGAAAACCGGGUGAAGUAAGGAGGGAGUUGACAAUAAAGGAGUUGAUGAUAGGAAAAAGAUAUUCUCAGUAUAGAAAAUCGUGGAAACAGACGGGAGAAAUGAGGAAGGAGUUGACAAUAAGGGAGUUGAUGAUAGGAAAAAAAUAUUCUCAGUAUAGAAAAUCGUGGAAACAGACUGGAGAAAUGAGGAAGGAGUUGACAAUAAGGGAGUUGAUGAUAGAAAAAAAAUAUUGAUAGAUCAGCCAGUAUUGUGGGUAACCGAAUGGAGAAAUGAGGAAGGAGUCUUGAUGCGUGAAGGAAUAAUAGAGGUUCAGGGUUGUGUGUGUGUGUGUGUGAGGUUGGUAGCAAUAAAAGGGGUGGAAAGGAAAGGAAAAUGAUACUAAGGGAAAUAAUAACAUUGAUAAAUAAGUCGAAUGUGUAGGAAAUCCUGACCAGUGAAGGAAUAAUAUAAGUUCAGAGUUGUGUGUGUGGGGGAGAGGGAGGACGUAGGGAAAAGAGGGGGGUGGAGGGAGACCAGAUAAACUAUGUCAUGAAAAGUGGAGAAAGAGAAAAAUGAGUUAAGUGUGGUGAAUUGUGAAGGUGAAUAGUGGUCGGCGGGUGAUGGAUGCUGGGAGUUGAACGUUGGUGGUAGGUGGUGGUGAACGCUGGGUGAUGGGUGGUGGGAGGUGGGCGGCGGUGGUGGGUGGUGGGUGAUGUAUAGUGGUGUUGAACGUUGGCUGGAGGCGGGUGUUGGGAGGCUGGCGGUGGGUGGGAUCCCUAACUCACAUAUUCGUACAGGCAAGACAUACAUAGGCACGACUGCAGCCAGAGGGAUCUUGGCACAUAACUCUUAACUCUUAAAUCUGGCGGCGGGCCUGGCACUGUCACCGCGGCACCACCUGUUCUUUGAUAUCCCCUCAGAGGAUCGCAAGAUAAGAAAAUUGUUGAAGCUUGACUUUGCAUUCUGUGUCACCAUCUUUGUUUGGCACUCAAAAUAAUUAGUCACAAGCUUAAAAAGGAUGGUGAAUACUUUUAAGGAAUUUACUCCUAUUUAGCGUCCCUUCAGUGAUCGAUGUUGCCUGUGGAAGAGGAUUUGGGAUGUCUAACUUUACAAUGUGUUCCAAGCCUUUGUUUAUUAAUCUAGACACUCAGGCAUUAGUUUCAAGAUGACGUCCAGUGGUGUUUAGUACCCUUUGCUGCGUCCUCUAUGCCUGCCUUGCCUAAAUAUGGCCUUCAGGUGGUAGUGAGGCUGGGAGGGAGAGAGAGAAAAAAGGGUGAGUGAGUGUGCCAAGGUUUCCCUGCCCUCCCUGCUCUCCCUCUUGCUCCUUCUCGCCUUCCCUUCCUUCCUCCCUUCCCGCGCCUGCCAUCUAAUGCUCCGUUUUGGAUCACACAGCUGUAAGGACUGAUUCAUGCGUACACUGGUGAUGCUAAUGGAAGGGUGAUCUUAGCUACGUGUGUCAGUGGUAAUGGAAUAUGAGGAUGAGGUGUGUUAUAGCAAGGAAGAAAAAUAAUGGUUUGAAAGUGGUGUGGGUGCAAGUCUUAAAAUUAGAUACAUGAGGAAGGCCGCAAAGAAUCCACGAGAGAGAGAGAGAGAGAGAGAGAGAGAGAGAGAGAGAGAGAGAGAGAGAGAGAGAGAGAGAGAGAGAGAGA
This is a long non-coding RNA of Eriocheir sinensis (Chinese mitten crab), 1910 nucleotides long. RefSeq lists it as uncharacterized. The transcript has 2 exons. The record is from RefSeq and is a predicted model, not a curated record. Lineage: Eukaryota; Metazoa; Arthropoda; Malacostraca; Decapoda; Varunidae.